RNAcentral lists this ribosomal RNA (467 nucleotides) under uncultured bacterium. Its description in RNAcentral is "partial 16S ribosomal RNA". It matches the Rfam family "Bacterial small subunit ribosomal RNA", at positions 29 to 507 of the family's 1533-position model. The record is from RNAcentral.
ACGCACGCUUGCGGCGUGCUUCACACCUGCAAGUCGCACGGAAAGGCCCUGCUUUUGUGGGGUGCUCGAGUGGCGAACGGGUGAGUAACACGUGAGUAACCUGCCCUUGACUUUGGGAUAACUUCAGGAAACUGGGGCUAAUACCGGAUAGGAGCUCCUGCUGCAUGGUGGGGGUUGGAAAGUUUCGGCGGUUGGGGAUGGACUCGCGGCUUAUCAGCUUGUUGGUGGGGUAGUGGCUUACCAAGGCUUUGACGGGUAGCCGGCCUGAGAGGGUGACCGGCCACAUUGGGACUGAGAUACGGCCCAGACUCCUACGGGAGGCAGCAGUGGGGAAUAUUGCACAAUGGGCGGAAGCCUGAUGCAGCAACGCCGCGUGCGGGAUGACGGCCUUCGGGUUGUAAACCGCUUUCGCCUGUGACGAAGCGUGAGUGACGGUAAUGGGUAAAGAAGCACCGGCUAACUACGUG